CCUACGGGUGGCAGCAGUGAGGAAUAUUGGUCAAUGGGCGAGAGCCUGAACCAGCCAAGUCGCGUGAGGGAAGACGGUCCUAUGGAUUGUAAACCUCUUUUGCCGGGGCGCAAAAAGCGGUACGCGUACCGCAUCGAGAGUACCCGGAGAAAAAGCAUCGGCUAACUCCGUGCCAGCAGCCGCGGUAAUACGGAGGAUGCGAGCGUUAUCCGGAUUUAUUGGGUUUAAAGGGUGCGCAGGCGGCGAGUUAAGUCAGCGGUAAAAUUUCGGGGCUCAACCCCGACAAGCCGUUGAAACUGGGUGGCUAGAGUGGGCGAGAAGUAUGCGGAAGGCGUGGUGUAGCGGUGAAAUGCAGAGAUAUCACGCAGAACUCCGAUUGCGAAGGCAGCAUACCGGCGCCCAACUGACGCUCAGGCACGAAAGCGUGGGUAUCGAACAGGAUUAGAUACCCCUGUAGUC
RNAcentral lists this ribosomal RNA (459 nucleotides) under uncultured bacterium. RNAcentral describes it as "partial 16S ribosomal RNA". It matches the Rfam family "Bacterial small subunit ribosomal RNA", at positions 338 to 795 of the family's 1533-position model. The record is from RNAcentral.